Molecule: ribosomal RNA, 274 nt
Filed under: uncultured bacterium
Lineage: Bacteria
Description: partial 16S ribosomal RNA
Rfam family: Bacterial small subunit ribosomal RNA
Source: RNAcentral
UACGUAGGGGGCGAGCGUUGUCCGGAAUCAUUGGGCGUAAAGAGCUCGUAGGCGGCUCAAUAAGUCGGGUGUGAAACCCCCAGGCUCAACCUGGGGACGCCACCCGAUACUGUUGUGGCUAGAGUCCAGUAGGGGAGUGUGGAAUUCCCGGUGUAGCGGUGAAAUGCGCAGAUAUCGGGAGGAACACCAGCGGCGAAGGCGGCACUCUGGGCUGGUACUGACGCUGAGGAGCGAAAGCGUGGGUAGCAAACAGGAUUAGAAACCCUGGUAGUCC